GUCCGAGUUGUAAUUGAAGAGGAAUGUCAUCCACGCUGACCAUGUCUAAAUUGUAAUGAUCCACAGUCCUUUGAUGGAGUAUCAGAGAGGCUAAAUAUCCCGUCUUUAACAUGGACUACCAGUGUUUCUGUGAUGCACUCUCUCAGAGUCGAGUAGUUUGGGAAUGCUGCUCUAAUGGGAGGUAAACUCCUUCUAAAGCUAAAUAUUGGCGAGAGACCGAUAGCGAACAAGUACCGUGAGGGAAAGAUGAAAAGAACUCUGGAAAGAGAGUCAAAUAGAACGUGAAAUUGCUGAAAGGGAAGCGUUUGGAGUCAGACACAUCUUUCAUGCUAUACCACUCAGCAGCAGGAAGGCUGAGAGCCGGUUACUUGAAGAUGGGCCAGCACUCACGAAGGCCAUUGAAGAAGGGGUCAUGGAAUGUAGCUCAGUCUUGAGUGAUUAUAGCCUUGAUUCAGAAGCAAUGUGUCUUUGUGUGAGAGAUGAAUAGCACCAACUUGAUUUGAGUGCUUGAUUUGACUGGCAUAAUGGCUCUAAGCGACCCGUCUUGAAACACGGACCAAGGAGUCUAACAUGUAUGCGAGUAUUAGAGUGAUUGAAACUCUCAAUGCGCAAUGAAAGUGUUUUUGACUGAGAAUCCCAUCAAUGGGAGGCAUCAGUACCCCGAGUCUCUGUUAGUCUUUGACUAAAGAUUUGGAGGCAGAGCAUACAUGUUGGGACCCGAAAGAUGGUGAACUAUGCCUGAAUAGGGUGAAGUCAGAGGAAACUCUGAUGGAGGCCCGUAGCGAUUCUGACGUGCAAAUCGAUCGUAGAAUUUG
RNAcentral lists this ribosomal RNA (815 nucleotides) under Craterellus shoreae. Its description in RNAcentral is "eukaryotic LSU rRNA". It matches the Rfam family "Eukaryotic large subunit ribosomal RNA", at positions 135 to 913 of the family's 3401-position model. The record is from RNAcentral. Lineage: Eukaryota; Fungi; Basidiomycota; Agaricomycetes; Cantharellales; Hydnaceae.